RNAcentral lists this ribosomal RNA (321 nucleotides) under Triticum aestivum (bread wheat). Its description in RNAcentral is "partial small subunit ribosomal RNA". The record is from RNAcentral. Lineage: Eukaryota; Viridiplantae; Streptophyta; Magnoliopsida; Poales; Poaceae.
AUGUUGAAAUUGUUCCUUCAACACUUGUGUUAUACACAUUGUAGCAGCAAAGUGGAGUUGCUCCUCCACAACCUUUGUGCUGCUUCAAAGCGUGUUGAUAAUGACAAGAGAGGUCGGGGUAGAUCGAACGAGGAGUCCGUAAAGAAAGAUCUGAAGGAUUGGAGUAUCACCAAAGAACUAGCCAUGGACAGGGGUGCGUGGAAGCUUGCUAUCCAGGAAAUUUAUUUGGGCAUGAAGUCUAUCUUGAUGGUAUCCUUAUUGCACUUCCUUAAGGGUGUGAUUAUUGCUAACGAGUUGAGGCCAUGUCAAGCAGAAUGCUAA